UGGGGGAUAUUGCACAAUGGGCGAAAGCCUGAUGCAGCGACGCCGCGUGGGGGAUGAAGGCUUGCGGGUUGUAAACCUCUUUCGCUAUCGAACAAGGCCCGCUUAGGGUGGGGUGAGGGUAGGUGGAGAAGAAGCGCCGGCUAACUACGUGCCAGCAGCCGCGGUAAUACGUAGGGCGCGAGCGUUGUCCGGAAUUAUUGGGCGUAAAGGGCUUGUAGGCGGCUUGUUGCGCCUGCUGUGAAAACGCGGGGCUUAACUUCGCGCGUGCAGUGGGUAGGGGCAGGCUUGAGUGUGGUAGUGGUGACUGGAAUUCCAGGUGUAGAGGUGGAAUGCGCAGAUAUCUGGAGGAACACCGAUGGCGAAGGCAGGUCACUGGGCCAUUACUGACGCUGAGGAGCGAAAGCAUGGGUAGCGAACAGG
RNAcentral lists this ribosomal RNA (420 nucleotides) under bacterium. RNAcentral's name for it is "partial 16S ribosomal RNA". It matches the Rfam family "Bacterial small subunit ribosomal RNA", at positions 355 to 776 of the family's 1533-position model. The record is from RNAcentral.